AUCUAACCUGGUGAGCCCGCACAUCCACCUGAGCAUCCUCAUCUCCGCAACCUUCAUUCUCCCAACAUGAGAGUUCUUCACUGGCCAGCACUCCACCCCAUACAAUAUGGCAGGUCUAACCACAGCUCUAUAAAAUUUUCCCUUACGUUUCUGUGGAACUUUCUUGUCACACAGGACUCCUGAUGCAAGCCUCCACUUUGAC
Molecule: long non-coding RNA, 202 nt
Filed under: Nicotiana benthamiana
Lineage: Eukaryota; Viridiplantae; Streptophyta; Magnoliopsida; Solanales; Solanaceae
Description: long non-coding RNA (NBEN_LNC000287)
Source: RNAcentral